Molecule: non-coding RNA, 222 nt
Organism: Pelobates cultripes (western spadefoot toad)
Lineage: Eukaryota; Metazoa; Chordata; Amphibia; Anura; Pelobatidae
Source: the annotation of a GenBank genome assembly
GUCCGACGGUCUGCUGCAGCUGGUCUGUGGGCGAUCUCUAGGGCGGUGUGGGGCCCGCUCCAGUAAGGUUGGAGUGUUCGGGACGGUUGGGUACGUUUUCCUUUUGGGUCCCGGGAUUGGUCUGCUCAUCUACAUGUUUGGUUCCGUCUAUUGCGGGCGUUGGGGGCGAUUUCUGCGAUUAGCGGGGCUCGGCUUCCCGUUCAUGUUACGGUAGUCGGCAAG